RNAcentral lists this long non-coding RNA (320 nucleotides) under Nicotiana tabacum (common tobacco). RNAcentral's name for it is "long non-coding RNA (NTAB_LNC018020)". Lineage: Eukaryota; Viridiplantae; Streptophyta; Magnoliopsida; Solanales; Solanaceae. The record is from RNAcentral.
GAGUCAAGUUCCUCGUUAGGGAGCUGGUAUUUGAGAUAAAACGGACGGUUGCCGUAAAGGGAACGGGAAAGAUGGGCAGUAAGGGCGGAGAGGGACGCGGCGGUGGUACGACGGUCAACGGAGACGACACGGUUGUCCCCGCCGGCGUAGCAGAGGGAUUUAUCGUGGGGACGUUGAACUAUAUGCCCACCGUAGCUGCAUAAAAGGCGGACCUUGGUGGUGGAAGUAGGAAGAGGUGGCAGGUCCAAGAGGGAAUCCGUGGUGGUAGACGGCGGAGCCGGCGGAGGUGGGUCCAUUUAGGCGUAAAUGGUGGCGGGGGA